Ceratina calcarata is the source of this 2522-nucleotide long non-coding RNA. RefSeq lists it as uncharacterized. The transcript is spliced from 2 exons. NCBI's taxonomy places the organism in Eukaryota, Metazoa, Arthropoda, Insecta, Hymenoptera, Apidae. The record is from RefSeq and is a predicted model, not a curated record.
CAGAGAUUAGUUUCUCGUUUCGACGCGAAGUACAAUGGAACACGGCUGUUUCGGUGCCGAAUCGUCUGUACGCGGCCAAAAUAUACCUACGUGCAUCCCACGUAUUCCACGAUCGACCGAAUUCGAGAUCGUAGAAAAAUACUUGGCCAAUACCGCCUGGUGCCGUCUUGAACAAUUGAUAAGCUUCGUUCAGACUGAAAAACAAGUGUCUAUAGACGUGUCUGGUGACUGUCGCAGACUUGUUUUUAUUCUUCACUUCUCUUCACUGGAAUGGAAAGCCUAGUGUCAUGAUAAGCGAAAGGACGAGACGUGAAUCAGAAAAAUACAUUUUCUAAUUUAAGACGAAUGUUCGAGCAACACUUUGUCCGUUCUCUACCGGUCAAUACGGAACAACGGAGAAUUCGAUCGAUUAUCAUCCGGUCACUGUUUAUAAAAUAGGUAUGCGACGUGGGGAGGAAGACGUUUCCCCGAGUGGAUCUUUAUAACCGCGACUCAUUUAAAUUGGCUAUAAUGGCUGCACAUCCUGUUUAAACGUAGUUUACGACGGACCCUAGUUGUCGCGCGGUAGGAAUCGUACAUUGCGAGUACGUAGGUAUAUUCCGACACAUGACAACGACACGAAAGAACGCGUGCGAUCAAACAGGUUUACGAACAUUGCACUAGCCGAAAUUCAUCAAGUCACUUUUCUAACAUUUUUCGGUAAAAUUUUUACGUUUAAGAAAAGCUAAAUUUGUUCUGGUCUUGAUUUCAUUCAAUACAAUCUCUUUCGGAUGUAAAAUUGCUGAUAAACAAAGGCACUAUAAGUACGAUUCUUCAUUCACUCUAUUACCCUCGUAUCACUAAAUAUCAGUAUAUUCUGAUUAAACUAUGACCAGAGCACACCAGAAUUAACUUUUAUCUUUCCAAAGAGUCAGCCGACGACCCAAAAAUCUUCUUAUACGAGCAUGAAAAGUGUAAACCCAUAUUUUUGGCUAAUUUUCUGGGUAACAUUGAUAUUCUGGCUUAUCGCGCCGCUUCGGGCCCUCUUAUCUACUCCACAUCUAUCCCCUUAAGCGAGUAGAUUCAAAUAGUGGCGCGAUAAGGCAAAAGGUCAAUAUCUGUCGUGUCGUAGGUCCGAAAAUGCUUAUUGAAUAAAUGUAUGUUUUUAAAGAUAUUCUUUUCUUGCUAUAGUUCGCAAUUGAGUACAUGUAGAAACGCCAGGAAUAUGCGACAACGACGACUAUACUAUGCAAUGCAAAGGUAAAAAAUACGCGUAAAUAAUUCAAAGGUAGCAGAGGUUAGUGAAUGGUAUUGAAGAAUUCGCUAUAAAUUGGAAAUGCGUCGGAAACAAUAAAUUCUUCAAAACAUCGUAUCGCGUCGGGUCGUUGAUAAAUAUCCGUCGGAGACUCGCAAGCCGUAAACUUUUUAUCAUUAAUGGUUUUAUCGCAGAUAAAUGAAAUCAGCAAAGUUUCUCGCGAGUACUCGUCGUGGAAUCGUAUAAAUAGUUUACGUAUGUAUCUGAAUCCGGCGGUCAACCGGUUGCUGUUCGCAGAAACGCGAUCCUAUUGUAUCGCGAAUUAGAUCGCGAAUAUUUAUGCAGUUGUUUACCGCGUGGCGAGCACGAUUUCAUUUUUAAAUCGGCUCUCGAAAAUAUCCGCGACAACAACCCCGUCCUCUACCAGAAUUUCGACGUUGCAACAGUAAAGAAUCAAUAAUUUUAAUUAUCGUAUAAAUAUCGCACAAUGUAGAAUUAGAGGUAAACUUUUAUCGACUCAUUCUCACGUGUACAUACUAUUGUGUACGUCGUUAUUCUCGGACGUAUGUGUACUUGUGUACAUACUUUAUGCUCGUGCGAAAUUCGUACCUAUGCUUUAUCGCCGAUUUAAUUAAAAUCCUCAAUUUAUCUACGGCUUCGCGCGUUCAUUUUUUCGCGCCGCUCGAGACGUAAUUUUCUGAACGUUCACGGACGAACAAAUAUAUGGGUCGUUUAUUUUUGCACAGAGGGCCAAGGAGUUUUCGUAUACGCAGUAAGCCGGGACGGAGGAACAAAGUUGAUCAAUUUUGAUCGGAGCAACGAAAGCUCGUAUCGUUUCCGAGAUUUCCCAUAGGAACGACCGGACAUCGUCGGAAGCAACGUCGAUGACAUGCUCCUACAGUUCCCCGGAGUCGCUUCGAUGAACUAUACCCGUACAUAUUCGUCCGUUAACCCCUUGUACGUCUUGCACGUUUCCAUUCCAAGCAGUGAACACUACCCGUUGACGGGACCCCAAUUAAAAAGUUAAAAAACGCAAUGUUCACUUUUUUCCCUCGCGAUUCCGAACAAUAAGAAUUCUGAACAAAUUCUUUUUUUCAUUGCGUAGUAAAUUAAACCUUCUAGAAUCUCACAAAAAAUUAAGUCUUUUGGUUCGAUAUGAAAAAAGUUAUUCUGUUUUAAAGUGUGUCCGAAUGUUAAUAUGAGUCACUGUAUGUCGUAUACAUGUACAGAUUAACAGUAAAUGAAUAGUGAUAUUAUGUGGAAAAUAAAUUUUACAUUAACACUUGGA